RNAcentral lists this non-coding RNA (29 nucleotides) under Homo sapiens (human). Lineage: Eukaryota; Metazoa; Chordata; Mammalia; Primates; Hominidae. The record is from RNAcentral.
UUGGCAAAGAGAGAUGAUGAUAACAGAGA